This 4478-nucleotide long non-coding RNA is filed under the name Nicotiana benthamiana. Its description in RNAcentral is "long non-coding RNA (NBEN_LNC022173)". The record is from RNAcentral. Lineage: Eukaryota; Viridiplantae; Streptophyta; Magnoliopsida; Solanales; Solanaceae.
UCUUCUCCAGUUCGAAAUUGUCCCCAACCCUAAGAGACUUGCUGCCUUGUAAUCUCUAAGGCUUCUCCGGCGGCGACAAAGCUCGAACAUCGCCCAAGUUUCGUCUAUGCAACCAUCGCCCUUCCUCAAACCCAAUCCACCUCUGUUCCUCCCCAAGUCCUCGCCAAAUUAAUCAGAUUUGAAUCUGAAAGUAGAAGAAUCCGUCAAGUUUUAAAACUCCUUUGAACAAUAUAGUUUGAAACGAGUAUUGACCAUUUGUUUUCUUUGAGAACAUACAGUUAAUGUUUGUUUCGAAUCAAAUCAAAGCCGUAGAGUUUAUCAAGUUUUGUCUGGGCAACAUUGAAGGUAUUAUCUCCAUCUUUUCUUCGUCGUCAUCCUCGUCAGUUCAAUUAUUUGAGUUCUUUUUCUGUUCCUCCAUCUCCAUGUUGUCUUUUUCUUUUCAUUUUUUCCUCUUAUUUUUGUUUAAAUUGUACAAGUAAUAGCCUUGAGUUAACUUUGAUUAAUUUUAUUAAAUGGAUAGAACUAAUUCGAUUUACAAGUUUUAAAACUGAUUGGGCUCUUUAUGGGGCCAUUGUAUAACUGAUCAUGUGGUUGGGUCAGAGUUUUGGGUCUCAAAUGUUCAUGGGAUGGGUGAAGUUCUUGGGCCCUCGAUCGAUUAUGACCUAUCCCCAACAACAUUUUUAGAGUUUUAGUUUUUUGGUUUGGCCUGACCCAUAGAUGGAUUAGGUUGGGAGGGUAAUUUACAAAGAUUAAAAGGUUACUUUAGGUAUCUUAGGUGAGAGAAUCUUGGUAUAACAUAAUAGGAAGCUUCUUAAGAAGCUGGGUGGGCCUGUUUUGGUAUAUAGAUAAUCACAUUAAGGGUAAUUCAACAAAAAGGGAAAAUCAUAUAAGGAUUAGGUGGCAAAAACCAAAAUUUGAAAAGGGCCUAAUGGGUAAAAAUCAAACCUAAAGUUUACGUUAUUUUCUUGCCUAUAAAGGCAUCUUAUUCUUGCCUUGCAAGAGGGAAAACUUCAGUGAUAGAAAUACAAGAAAAUCAUAGCGGCUAAACAUCAAUGAAAAUACUUUACGUUGGGUCUUCUCUAUGGAUUUCUUAAUUUUUCAGCUUCUAAGAACAAAUUCGAAUCUAAAUAAAGUUGAAAUGGUUUAAGGAUAAUGGUCAAAAGGAUUUGAUCUGAAGCUCUGGUCGAUGGGGUUUAAAGCUUGAUUUUAAAGUUCUUUUUCCUCUUGGUUAUCUCUGCUUUGGGUCAUUGACUGCUACUGUUACUGCCAAAUUCCUUACCCUUGUAUUUUUUCUUUCAAUAUCCAAGUACUUCUUGCAUCUUGAAUCGCAUCUGAAGUGCAGAUAUAUGUUCAAUAUGGAAGACUAAUGAUAAAUGUUGAAAUUCAGCUUUUGUCCUUCAAUGAUCUUGUGAUUGCUAUGUAGCUUAUGCCUUCUUUACAGUUUUUGGCUGUUCAUUUAUAUUUCUAGUUUGAAUCUCAUUUAUAAGAUAGCAUGGUGUCAUAUUUAGCAAGUUUGGGUAUAUGAAUUAGCUGAAGUUUGUUUGUUUGGAUGGGAGUAUAAUGUUUAAAUCUCUUAUAGUAUAGUUGACUUGUUCACCCUUCUGCUUAUGGAAACUGCAACGCAAAAGUUAAAUCUUAUCUUUGUUUCAAGAUACAAUAUUCAUUUUCUAUUGUACAACUUUUAUUGCUAUUGAGAUGUGGAUAGCAUUAGGGACCAGUCUAUGGGAUGUAGGGUAGUGUUGUGUUGAUUUUCAAGUAAUGAGGCCUACUGCUGUGUUUGGGUCACAAGAGUAAAAGCAGGAAUAGUCCUGAUGGUUGUCUCAUUUGGAACUAUUAAGCCUUGAAUUUUGGGUCUCAUUUGGUCCUGUUCGGUUGGUAGGUUAUCACUUCAUGCAUGGGUUCAAAAUUAGUGGUGGUUCAUGUUAAAUAAUGAAACUGAACAAAAUGGCAUUUAGUCAGCACAUUCAUUGUUUGGUAUGAAAAGAUUUAUAUGAAAAACUUGCUGGAUCUUGGUUAUGUGCCAAUGAAUUUUUCAAACCAUUUUAUAGUUGAAUUUUGAUUUUUGUUGGGGUGGUGAUAUUCUCUUGGAUUGCUAGGUGACAUAAAUUUUUGAGUUUGUUUAAUUAGUUGAAGUUCAUAAAUAAUUUCAUUAGUUUGAUUCCUUGUCUUCCUAAUGUUUUCAACUUAUUGGUUUUAUUUUGUCGAGCAAAUGUGGGGAUUCAUAGAACUGGGCCUACUGUUGGUCUAAUUGAGGAAGCUAAUGACAGACUUGGCAGUUUGUCACCUGUUUUUGGAUCUUCUCGUCCUUUUAAAAAUGGGCUCCUCCCAGGCCAAGUCUCAGAAGGUAUUCUUAAAAAGACUUGUGUACUUCUUGGACUUGAACUUGUCUAAUUUUGCUAAAUCCAUCCUACAUCAUUGGGAGGACAUCUUUGUUGGAACAAUUCUCGUUUAAUAGCUUAGUCAUUUGAUGCAGGAUCAACUACCAAGUAGACUCGAUUUUCAGUAAUUAGUACCCCUUCAAUGCUUUUCCUUCAACUAGUUUCGUUAAUGAAUUGGGGAAAGACAUACUAGAAAAAUAAUAAUAAUUAUGGCCCUCCGAAUGUAAUUGAAUUCACCCUUUUUAAUUUAGAGUUGAGGUGCGUCAUGCCAGAUAAAAUCUCAAAUGUGUGGCCAUCAUUUAAUUGUUUCUUUUAAAAUCCUUAGAAUUCGAGGCAUGCCAUUAGCAAUCUCAGAGUGCAUUUAUGUGACGUGGUUCGAAACAUAUUUUAAAUAACGUUGCAAUCUCCCUUUAAUUGAUUAAAUAAAAGCGGUUUGAAAGUUAAAUGCACAUAGGUUUAAAAUGUUCUAAAAUCAGAUAAUUAAGUCGAAUAUAACAGUUGAGCGACUGUGCUAGAACCACGGAACCCGGGAAUGCUUAACACCUUCUCCCGGGUUAGUAGAAUUCCUUACUUGGAUUUCUAGUUCGUGGACUGUAAUACAGAGUCAACCUUUUCCUCGAUUCGGGAUUUGAACUAAUGACUUGGGACACCAUAAAUCAUCCGUAGUGGAGCUUCUGAAUUUAAUAAAUUAAUAAUCUCAUUUCGAUUGUCACUUUAAUUUAAAAAAACUCCCUUAAUACACCCUUCCAGGGAUGUAGGUAAAAAAAAAGGUGUGACAGACGUUUCUCCUGUGCUUGUUUUUGGCGUGGUGCAGUAUGCCCACAGUACCUCUGGGAGUAAUUCCGGCCAUAGUCCCUUGGGAUCUUCAAGUUUUUUCUUCAAGAUAUUCAGUAUUGUUUAGUUGGAGGACUCGACCUGACCGUUACGGCAUGGUGAUAUGGUAUCGAGAGUAUUCGCUUGAUGUGCCAUUUUUCGAAGAACUUGGCGGUGUUCUUCCGCUGAACUUGGGUCAAAUGUCACAGCUAGGGGUAUUCAUGGUUUGGUUUGGAUCGGCUUUUCUCUAAAAAGAAACCAAAUCAAGUAAGUCAUUUUUUCAAAUAUUAGAACCAAAUCAAACCAAUUGAGUCGAUUUUUUCUCGAUUCGGUUUAUGUAAGGUUUUUUUGGUUUUUCUGUUAUUUGUCGGUUGUUUUAUAAAUAUAAGACAUACACUACCAAUCAAAUAUUUCGGAGACCACAUUUUCAAUAUAACACUAUGAAAUCAAUUGCCGUUUGAGAAAUCCAUUAUUUACUAAAAUAUAUUAAUGAUAAUUGAAUCAAAUAGUCAUGAAUAAUUUAAGAACUCAAUUAAAAAUAUAUAUUUUUUAACAUGAAAUAUAUUCUUGCAUUUAAUAAAAUAAAACUACCAAUAAAACUAGAGUAUAAAUGUAAAUAAUUGUACUAAAAAUGCAAACCAUUAACAUUCACCAUAAAAAUUUUGAAACUUUAUAUAAAAAUAUACAUAUAUAUAGGUGUAAUAAUAAAUUUAAAAUAUCUACUCCUAUAGUCGGUUUGGUUUAGUUUUCUUGGUUAUUUUUUUUAUUAAAACCAAAACAAAAUAAAAUUUGAUCGGUUUUUAAAAUUCAAAACCAAAACCAAACCAAACCAAACUAAAAAGUAUCAAUAUUUUUGGUAGGUUUGGUUUGGUUUUCAGUUUGGUUCGGUUUUUAGUUUGAUUCGGUUUUUUGGAUUUUUAUGAACACCCAUAGUCAUAACUGAUUUCUUUGGGGAUGCCGAAGUGGCAUGUGAUGUUUCUCCAUGUGAAUCUGAUAACUUCAUGUUCACGUAUUUAGGUGAACGCACCUACUUCUACCCAUUUGGAGUAAUAGUCGGUUAACACUAAAAGAAAGUGUACAUUACCUCAUCCUGCUGGGAGGGCUUCGAUGAUGUGCAUUCCCCAUUUGAUGAACGGCCAUGGCGAUGCAACAAAAUGGAGGUGCUCGCCCGCUUGGUGUAUCAUAGGGGCAUACUUUGGGCAUUGUUCGCAUUUCUUGACAUAAUUGGUGGUUUACUUCUUUAUUGUGGGCAAAUAAUAUCUUGCUUGAAUGAGGCAUCUAAUGAAG